This 211-nucleotide microRNA precursor is filed under the name Populus trichocarpa (black cottonwood). RNAcentral's name for it is "miR7814 stem-loop (ptc-MIR7814)". Lineage: Eukaryota; Viridiplantae; Streptophyta; Magnoliopsida; Malpighiales; Salicaceae. The record is from miRBase by way of RNAcentral.
UUUUUCAAUUUAGAUUGUUUUUAUGCUUUGAAUUUAUCUGUUUUCUUGGGUUGUGAUUUGUUAGUGUUUGAUCUUUGCAUGUUCCUGCUUCUGGGUUAUGCUGUUUUCUAAUGUGUUGUAGAGGCUGUAGAUCAAACUCCCAAACACAAACAAAUCACAAUCCAAGAAAGCGGAUAAAUUCAAAGCAUAAAAACAAUCUAAACUGAAAAAU